Nematostella vectensis (starlet sea anemone) is the source of this 123-nucleotide non-coding RNA. The record is from Rfam. NCBI's taxonomy places the organism in Eukaryota, Metazoa, Cnidaria, Anthozoa, Actiniaria, Edwardsiidae.
GUCUACAGCCAUACCACUGAGAAAGCACCGGUUCUCGUCCGAUCACCGAAGUUAAGCUCAGUAGGGCGCGGUAAGUACUUGGAUGGGUGACCGCAGAGCUCGAAGGACCAUUCAUCGUAGCAU